AUUGAACGCUGGCGGCAUGCCUUACACAUGCAAGUCGAACGGCAGCACGGGAGCAAUCCUGGUGGCGAGUGGCGAACGGGUGAAUAAUGUAUCGGAACGUACCUUCAGUGGGGGAUAACGUAGCGAAAGUUACGCUAAUACCGCAUAUUCUGUGAGCAGGAAAGCAGGGGAUCGCAAGACCUUGCGCUGAUUGAGCGGCCGAUAUCAGAUUAGCUAGUUGGUGAGGUAAAGGCUCACCAAGGCGACGAUCUGUANCGGGUCUGAGAGGAUGAUCCGCCACACUGGAACUGAGACACGGUCCAGACUCCUACGGGAGGCAGCAGUGGGGAAUUUUGGACAAUGGGCGCAAGCCUGAUCCAGCCAUGCCGCGUGAGUGAAGAAGGCCUUCGGGUUGUAAAGCUCUUUCAGCCGGGAAGAAAACGCAUGGGUUAAUACCCUGUGUGGAUGACGGUACCGGAAUAAGAAGCACCGGCUAACUACGUG
Molecule: ribosomal RNA, 483 nt
Filed under: uncultured bacterium
Lineage: Bacteria
Description: bacterial SSU rRNA
Rfam family: Bacterial small subunit ribosomal RNA
Source: RNAcentral